RNAcentral lists this ribosomal RNA (463 nucleotides) under uncultured bacterium. RNAcentral's name for it is "bacterial SSU rRNA". It matches the Rfam family "Bacterial small subunit ribosomal RNA", at positions 328 to 803 of the family's 1533-position model. The record is from RNAcentral.
GAAUUCAACUCCUACGGGAGGCAGCAGUGGGGAAUAUUGCACAAUGGGCGAAAGCCUGAUGCAGCGACGCCGCGUGAGGGAUGAAGGCCUUCGGGUUGUAAACCUCUUUCAGUAGGGAAGAAGCGCAAGUGACGGUACCUACAGAAGAAGCACCGGCUAACUACGUGCCAGCAGCCGCGGUAAUACGUAGGGUGCGAGCGUUGUCCGGAAUUAUUGGGCGUAAAGAGCUUGUAGGCGGUUUGUCGCGUCUGCCGUGAAAAUCCGGGGCUCAACUCCGGACUUGCGGUGGGUACGGGCAGACUAGAGUGUGGUAUGGGAGACUGGAAUUCCUGGUGUAGCGGUGAAAUGCGCAGAUAUCAGGAGGAACACCGAUGGCGAAGGCAGGUCUCUGGGCCACUACUGACGCUGAGAGACGAAAGCUAGGGGAGCGAAUGGGAUUAGAAACCCUAGUAGUCCAGGCGUU